This is a long non-coding RNA of Poeciliopsis prolifica (blackstripe livebearer), 559 nucleotides long. RefSeq lists it as uncharacterized. The transcript has 5 exons. NCBI's taxonomy places the organism in Eukaryota, Metazoa, Chordata, Actinopteri, Cyprinodontiformes, Poeciliidae. The record is from RefSeq and is a predicted model, not a curated record.
UUUUUCGUCCGUUACCAACGGAGGAAUUUGAUUGGUCAUCAUCAACGUCCGUCAAUAAAAACGCCCCGCCCUAUUUGUAACUGGUCUGCAAGGAUGGAUUGUCAGGUGCCACUGUGUAACAGCUGUGUAUGGCCCAAAUACCCACAGACCAUUGACUUUCCAGAAAUCUUAACAAACUAGCUGGGUUGCUGUGGUGACAAAAAGGACAUCAUAGCUUCGCACAGUCCUCCACUCAGGGCACACCCAGAUGGAUGCCGACUUGCAGCCACACACAUUCACCUGCAGCCGCGCUUCGUCACAGCAACAGAUGGACGGCCUUGAGGCAGAGCCAGGGAGACUUGCAUUAGGGCAGAGCUGCCGGUUGAUUUCUAAGAUCAGGUGUGCGUCUACACAAAGGCACCUUCUGCUCUUUUCAAGUAUGGUGGUUUGCUAGCCUCAGGACAAAUGGGGACGCAAAACAACAGUGGCAUCUGUGGCAGCAACAUGUGCCGGAGCUGCGUGAGCGGCCCGGCCGAGCUGCAGCCAUACAUCAGCAGUCAGCCGGUGUUGGAGACGGGCC